AAAAUUCUCAAAAAAGUUCACUGAAAAUGUCUCUGAUCCCAAGAAUUUUCGGCGAUCGACGAAGCAGCAGCAUGUUCGAUCCAUUUUCAAUUGACGUAUUUGAUCCAUUCAGGGAAUUAGGCUUCCCAGGUACCAAUUCAGGGGAGAGCUCUGCAUUUGCCAACACACGAAUAGACUGGAAGGAAACUCCAGAAGCUCAUGUGUUCAAGGCUGAUCUUCCAGGGCUUAAGAAGGAGGAAGUCAAAGUGGAAGUCGAGGAGGAUAGGGUUCUUCAGAUCAGCGGAGAGAGGAACGUGGAGAAGGAAGAUAAGAAUGACAAGUGGCAUCGCGUGGAGCGAAGCAGCGGGAAAUUCAUGAGGAGAUUUAGACUUCCGGAGAAUGCAAAGAUGGAUCAAGUUAAGGCUUCAAUGGAGAACGGAGUGCUUACUGUUACUGUUCCAAAAGAAGAGGUGAAGAAGCCUGAGGUCAAGUCCAUUGAGAUUUCUGGUUAAAAAUACAUUUGUGAAUUAAGUUGAUGUGUAUGGUCAAAUAAAUAACUGAGUUGUUGUGUCUGUUGAAGGUUUGAAGUUGCUCUGUUUUUCUAUCGAAAGUCUUGAGUCGGCUUUGUUUCUCGCCUAAUGGCGUGUUGUACUUUUCCAAGUUUCACGUUUAAUAUGAAAAAUUUGUCUUUUUUUUACUGUAAUUUGUUAUUUCAUAUUUACCAAACUUAAAAAAAUAAUAAUUUAGCAAAUCUGAAUUUUUUUAAUAUAUUAUUAAAGUAAUUUUAUAAAAGCAAAUUUUUAAGUAAAAUAAAAAGAUUGUCGACACAGAUCAAAAACAUAGAUUUUGCUUAGUCCUCUCGAUAUAUGCUUUUUAGACUUUGGAAUUUCAACUGCUAGGCAUACGAGCCACUCACUUCUAUAAAAAAAAUUAAAUUAUUUUUUGUAAAUUAUAGAUUAAAUUAGGAAAAAAUGACAGAAAUUUCACUUUAGAUUUUCUUACUACAAUUAUUUCUUAUUAUUAGUUUUACAAAUUCUCAAAAUUUUCUCAUUUUCGCGCAUCAAGUUAAUGUAUAAGCGCAUUAAAUUAAUGUAUCUUGUAUAUCAUAUUAGUGUAUUAUGUAUAAAUUUACAUUAAAUUAGUGUAUUAUAUAUAAAAUAUAAUAUAUUUUAUUUAACGAUUAAUGUAUUGACAUAUCAAAUUAAUAUAUUAACGUUUAUAUUAUUAUAUCAGUUUAAGUAAUUUUUGUAAUUAUAAAAAAUUUAUUACGAACAAUGGAUACAUUUAUAAUUACAAGAAACAAAGGAUAAUUUUAUAGGGAAAAUUGUAUAUAAUAGCAAACUAAUAACCUAAAAUAAAUAGAGUAGAUAGAGUUUGAUUUAAUUGUGCUCCAUAGCAAACGUUAGCCAAAGUUUGUCUGGCGCCUCUCUCCAAAAAAUCUCGCUCGCCACUCUCCCAUUCUCGCACGCCACUCUCCCUCUGCUUGCCUCUCUCGCUUUAUACACAGAAGUGUAUAAAUUAUGUUUCUGUUUUGUAUAAAGCGAGAGAAAAUUGUAUAUACACAUGCAAAAACAUAUAUUUCCGUGUUAUACACUUAAUUAUACAAUUUAAAACAUUUUUCUUCAAUUCAAUUGUAGACAAAUGCAAAUUUUAUACAAAUAUUACAGAGAAAAAGGCCAACGAAUUAUACACUUGCAGUGAAAUACAAUUUUUUCUAGAUGUAUACAACAGAAGUGUAUAUAUUGUGUUUCUAUUUUUGUAUAAAGCGAGAGAAAAACAUAUAUCUUCUUGCUAUACACUUAUAAUUAUGCAAUAUACAUAUAUUUUAAUUCGAUUCAAUUGUAUGCAGAAUAAUUUUUAUAAAAAUAUUACAACGAAAUAGGCAACAAAUUAUAUAAUUGUGCAUUAUACAAUUGCAGUGAAAUAGGAUAACGAAUUAUCCAAUUGCAGCGAAAUAGGCCAGCGAAUUAUACAAUUUAAGCCAGCAAAUUAAACAACUGUAUAUGUAUAGCGAAUUAUACAAUUUUAUAUUUUCUAUGAGCGUAAUUAUGCAAACUUCGUUAUAUCAUACAAAUAUAAAAUUUUUAUUUGUUAUACGUGAAAUUUUCCCAUAAUUUAUAUCUUUUGCCAAAUUAGAGUAGGGUACGUCGGCCCAUGGCCUUUAACGGGCCAGAACAAUGGAGUCCAUUAAAACAUAUUUAGGUUUUUGUUGCUUCCUAUAAAUACACCUGAAAAUUCUCUCUUCAAACAUAACUCUACCUUUCUGCUCUCUGCAGCAGCAGCAGCAAGGGCUAAACAUGAAAACCUUAUUUAUUUUUAUUUUUAUUUUAUUCUUGGCAAAUAUUACUCAUCUUUGAUUGUAAGUUAUUGAAAACUUAUGGGAUGUAUGAUUAGACAUUUUGCAAACAAUGCAUAUAUAUGUCUACUAGAUUCAUCUUUUUUUUUCUUCCUUCAAAUAGUUUGUUUUUAAUUCUUCAUGGAUGAUGGUGUGUAAGAAUGAUGAAGAAAUCAUUCGGAUUCCCACUGAUAUUUAUUUGUGAUUACCACAACCAGCUACUUCUGACUUCACAUCCCUUUUUCAGAUUUUAAUUUUUAUAUGGAUUUGGAAUUUGACAAUUUGAAACCUUUUUCAGAUUUUAAUUUUUAUAUGGAUUUGGAAUUUGAUAAUUUGAAACAAAAAGGGCCUGUGAUGUAAGUAAAUAUUUGCUACUCUUGAUGGAAAUUUAAAUUUCCAUCUGAUGAUUCUCUAUCCACCAAGAUCUCUGAGGCCUUGUUCUUAAAUCUUAUAUCUUUCUAAAAUAAUUUUGAAAUUGUUCUGUUCUUUUAUCCAGGUUGAGUCGUUAAAAUGUACCAAUAUUAUUAUAUUUUCCUUUUUUUGAUCCUGUUUAAAUUUGUCAUAUAUCUUUCUUAUUUUUCUUUUUCAGUUAAAUGGAUCCAAAUCGUAUAAUGAUUAGUUUUUUCUUUUUUUGAUGCUUUAAAAUUACAUUACGCAUAUACACCACAUAGAGGUUACAUUAUUUCAACUUCGCAGGCUUACAAUACCAAGAUUCAUGUUAUGGUACCAUAUAUAUUGAAUUAUUAUAUGGUAUGUAGCAAAUUAUCAAUGUUAUUAUUUUGGUAUUAUUAUGAUUAUUUGAUAUAUUAUAUUUUAUUUUUUAAAUACCUCGCAUAAUAUCUCUACAUGGAUAAUGCUUUGGUAAUCUAUGUUAAUUUAGAGAUUAGAUAUUCAAAUAAUUAAUCGACUAAAAAUCAAGACUAAACCAAUUAAUUAUAAAAUAACUCAUUCAUUUUUAAACAAUUUGCUAUUAUUAUGUUCCCCAUGUAUUUUUUAAUUUCUUCUAAAUUUUCUCUCCUAAUUACUCUGAAUUUCAAGUAUUUCAUUAUUUUGCUCCCAAUGUGGCUUUAAAAAUUUUAGGUACCGCUAAAACAAUUUUAUAUUAAAUUUUUAUCUAUAUGUUUUUUUCAAUUUUACAAGUUAUCUUUGAGUUAAUUCAUUAUAUUCAGAGUUCUUAAUUAUGCAAUUGAAUAAUCAUUCUUUUCGUAGGUUCUAACGUAAGAUUUUGAAGAGGUUGCAGGUUUAUUGGUAAAAUUCAAUGCAGUAGAAGUAGUUUGGGUUCAAAUUGAAAAAAAUAAUCUAAUUGGAUUGAGGAAAUUAUUGUAAAAUCGAAGCAAUCUAACAUCAGAAUUGUGGAGUACUAGUUUUCCCCAAUCUGAUUGGAUCAUUUUCAAUUUUUUUUCAAUUUGGAACUGGACAUGCAACCUCCCCAAUUAGACCCAAGGAAAAAAACAAUUUUGUUCAACAAUAUUUUAUCCAUGCUGAUGUAUACUUCUUGUCAAUCAUUUAGUCAAUCUUUUAGAACAUUUGAUGGAUGAUAAAUUGAUAUGAAUAAUAAUUAAAUUAAUAGAUUUAGACCAAGUUUUGGUGAUUGAAAGUUAUGGAGUUCAAUGAAAUAAAAUGAAUAUCUUCAAUUUUACUUAUACAAUUUCGUGUGACCCAUUAAUAUUUAAUUAUUCAAAAUUAUAGUUACUCAAAAUAUAUGAAUGAAGCACUAGAUAUAUUAUUUAUUUUAAAUUAAUUGUUCGGUCUGUUGUUCUUAUAACAUGAUCUUAACCUAGUAUUAGCUAAAUUUUGUGGAAUGUAAAUAACGGGCCCUUAAAAUAAGGACAGAGUACUUGUAUAAUUGGGCCUGUUGAAGCCCAAUUUGCAUAGGUCACUUGUAUGAUCUGUGACGUGGCCUGCGGUAUUUGUCCCGAAAGUUCUCGACAUCACCUUACUGAAGUAUCUACUUGGCUCUAGAAAUAUCUCAAUGAUGGUAGAACGAACCUGCUAAACACUUCUAUAGGAAAAGCUAUAAAUAACUAUCCAAUCCUUAUCUAUCAACCAUCAAAACUGAAAGCAAGUAAACACAGAAAAUUCUCAAUAGCUCACUGAAAAUGUCACUGAUCCCAAGAAUCUUCGGCGACCGACGAAGCACCAGCGUGUUCGAUCCAUUUUCAAUUGACGUAUUUGAUCCAUUCAAGGAAUUAGGCUUCACAGUUUCAAAUUCAGGGGAGACCUCUGCAUUUGCCAACACUCGAAUCGACUGGAAGGAAACUCCAGAAGCUCAUGUGUUCAAGGCUGAUCUUCCAGGGCUUAAGAAGGAGGAAGUCAAAGUGGAGAUCGAAGAGGAUCGUGUUCUUCAGAUCAGCGGAGAGAGGAACGUGGA
RNAcentral lists this long non-coding RNA (4685 nucleotides) under Solanum lycopersicum (tomato). RNAcentral describes it as "long non-coding RNA (SLYC_LNC000352)". The stretch from base 2661 to 2749 matches the Rfam family "Small nucleolar RNA SNORD24". The record is from RNAcentral. Lineage: Eukaryota; Viridiplantae; Streptophyta; Magnoliopsida; Solanales; Solanaceae.